This 1588-nucleotide ribosomal RNA is filed under the name Salmonella enterica. RNAcentral's name for it is "bacterial LSU rRNA". It matches the Rfam family "Bacterial large subunit ribosomal RNA", at positions 1252 to 2823 of the family's 2925-position model. The record is from RNAcentral. Lineage: Bacteria; Pseudomonadati; Pseudomonadota; Gammaproteobacteria; Enterobacterales; Enterobacteriaceae.
GAAGGUGGCCUGUGAGGGUUGCUGGAGGUAUCAGAAGUGCGAAUGCUGACAUAAGUAACGAUAAAGCGGGUGAAAAGCCCGCUCGCCGGAAGACCAAGGGUUCCUGUCCAACGUUAAUCGGGGCAGGGUGAGUCGACCCCUAAGGCGAGGCCGAAAGGCGUAGUCGAUGGGAAACGGGUUAAUAUUCCCGUACUUGGUGUUACUGCGAAGGGGGGACGGAGAAGGCUAUGUUGGCCGGGCGACGGUUGUCCCGGUUUAAGCGUGUAGGUGUGUGUUCCAGGUAAAUCCGGUUCACUUUAACACUGAGGCGUGACGACGAGGCACUACGGUGCUGAAGCAACAAAUGCCCUGCUUCCAGGAAAAGCCUCUAAGCAUCAGGUAACAUCAAAUCGUACCCCAAACCGACACAGGUGGUCAGGUAGAGAAUACCAAGGCGCUUGAGAGAACUCGGGUGAAGGAACUAGGCAAAAUGGUGCCGUAACUUCGGGAGAAGGCACGCUGACACGUAGGUGAAGUGAUUUACUCAUGGAGCUGAAGUCAGUCGAAGAUACCAGCUGGCUGCAACUGUUUAUUAAAAACACAGCACUGUGCAAACACGAAAGUGGACGUAUACGGUGUGACGCCUGCCCGGUGCCGGAAGGUUAAUUGAUGGGGUCAGCGCAAGCGAAGCUCCUGAUCGAAGCCCCGGUAAACGGCGGCCGUAACUAUAACGGUCCUAAGGUAGCGAAAUUCCUUGUCGGGUAAGUUCCGACCUGCACGAAUGGCGUAAUGAUGGCCAGGCUGUCUCCACCCGAGACUCAGUGAAAUUGAACUCGCUGUGAAGAUGCAGUGUACCCGCGGCAAGACGGAAAGACCCCGUGAACCUUUACUAUAGCUUGACACUGAACAUUGAGCCUUGAUGUGUAGGAUAGGUGGGAGGCUUUGAAGCGUGGACGCCAGUCUGCGUGGAGCCGACCUUGAAAUACCACCCUUUAAUGUUUGAUGUUCUAACGUGGACCCGUUACCCGGGUUGCGGACAGUGUCUGGUGGGUAGUUUGACUGGGGCGGUCUCCUCCUAAAGAGUAACGGAGGAGCACGAAGGUUGGCUAAUCCUGGUCGGACAUCAGGAGGUUAGUGCAAUGGCAUAAGCCAGCUUGACUGCGAGCGUGACGGCGCGAGCAGGUGCGAAAGCAGGUCAUAGUGAUCCGGUGGUUCUGAAUGGAAGGGCCAUCGCUCAACGGAUAAAAGGUACUCCGGGGAUAACAGGCUGAUACCGCCCAAGAGUUCAUAUCGACGGCGGUGUUUGGCACCUCGAUGUCGGCUCAUCACAUCCUGGGGCUGAAGUAGGUCCCAAGGGUAUGGCUGUUCGCCAUUUAAAGUGGUACGCGAGCUGGGUUUAGAACGUCGUGAGACAGUUCGGUCCCUAUCUGCCGUGGGCGCUGGAGAACUGAGGGGGGCUGCUCCUAGUACGAGAGGACCGGAGUGGACGCAUCACUGGUGUUCGGGUUGUCAUGCCAAUGGCACUGCCCGGUAGCUAAAUGCGGAAGAGAUAAGUGCUGAAAGCAUCUAAGCACGAAACUUGCCCCGAGAUGAGUUCUCCCUGAGACUU